RNAcentral lists this ribosomal RNA (393 nucleotides) under uncultured soil bacterium. RNAcentral describes it as "bacterial SSU rRNA". It matches the Rfam family "Bacterial small subunit ribosomal RNA", at positions 26 to 445 of the family's 1533-position model. The record is from RNAcentral.
AGAACGAACGCUGGCGGCAUGCCUAAUACAUGCAAGUCGAACGAACUCUUCGGAGUUAGUGGCGCACGGGUGCGUAACGCGUGGGAAUCUGCCCCUUGGUUCGGAAUAACAGUUGGAAACGACUGCUAAUACCGGAUGAUGACGAAAGUCCAAAGAUUUAUCGCCAAGGGAUGAGCCCGCGUAGGAUUAGCUAGUUGGUGAGGUAAAGGCUCACCAAGGCAACGAUCCUUAGCUGGUCUGAGAGGAUGAUCAGCCACACUGGGACUGAGACACGGCCCAGACUCCUACGGGAGGCAGCAGUAGGGAAUAUGGACAAUGGGCGAAAGCCUGAUCCAGACAAUGCCGCGUGAGUGAUGAAGGCCGUUAAGGUUAGUAAAGCUUACCUUUUACCGA